CUCUAUGUCUCCAACGGUCGCGCGUUUCGGUUCGUUUUGUGCGAAAUUUAAGCAAUAAUCAGCGUGAAUUGUGGCCAGAAAGUUGGACAGCAAUGUCUGCGAUAGCUGGCACCCACGUUCGCCCGAAAAUGUGCGGCUAAAAGCCCCCCGCGAACCGCAAAACAGCGGCGGCGAAACAGCCCAACAAAACCGACUGAAAGAAGCGAGAAGAAGAAGGGAAAAAUUAAACAAGUUUGCGUGGAACGAAAAUUGCGUGAAAAGAAAGCCACGCCGAAAUAAAUGCAAUGUUUAAUGUUUAAACCAACAAAUCGCCAAGGAGUUUUCAGUUCUUUUGAAGUCCUUGUGAGUGGGUGUGCGUGUGUGUGCCGUGCUAGUGUGUGUGUGUGUGCGUGUUGUGAGUGGAGUGGAAAUUAAACGAGAGUGUCUCAGUUGUCUGAGUGCAAAUGAAGUUGGCCAAGCCCAAAACGAGAAUUAAUUAAAGCAACUAAGAAAAGUGCCCGUUUGCAAGGAGGUGGCGGAGUAUUAAAUACACCCAGGAGGGGUAACGAAAACCGAUCGGGGGAGCAGGAGAAAAAAGGACGAGGAGGAGCCAAAAUAUGAGCGAGGAGCUGAAAGUGGUGCUGCGCCGCAGCGAGCAGCACUCCGGAUUCGGGUUUUCGCUGCUCGGAACCACCGGACCGCCACAUGUCAUCUACGACAUCGUCGAGAAUUCGCCGGCAGCCGAUUGCGGAGCGGUUGAGGCCGGGGAUGUCAUCCUUAAAGUCAACGGAACGGAUGUCCAUCGCUACACAACGAAGGAAGUUCUUAAAUGCCUGCGCCUGUCGGAACAGCUGGUGACCUUGGAGCUGAAGCGAGAUCCCAAGCUCAAGGCGCGAAUCAAAGAGCAGCUGGCCAACACCCAGAGUCCGCACUAUGUGGACAUUGAGUCGCCAAAUAUCUACGACUAUCACAGCGGCAGCAACAAUUCCUCGCCAAAUCACCGGUCGCCACACGCCGGUGGCAAGGGGGCGGCGACCACGCCCUCGCAGAGCGGACUGCGCUACAAGUCGCCCACGCACUUGCCCUCGCUGCGCCAAAACUCAUCGCCACUGCUGGCAAGUGGAGCUGCGACCCAGACGAUCCAGACCCAGACCGCCACGCAUACGCACAGCCAAACCCACAGUCGCAACUCUUCGGCCAGCUCCACCAAGAUCAAGGUGGUGGAGACGAGCAUUACCACCUCGGUCACGGGCAUAGUGGGUCCCACGUCGCCCACUGGCGAGGCCACCUCGCCAACCUUCCGCCCCUCUCGCAUUCCACAGGCGCUGACCAAAUGCGCCGUGCCCAAGCCCGUGCCCGUUCUCCAUUCACCCCAGAAUAAGCGGCCACGCCCCUCCCAGAUACCGACAAAGGCGUCGAACGGGAACGGCAACGGACAUUCGGCCCAGCUGCCGCCGCAAUCGCUGCAGCAUUCGAACAGUUACAGCGGCAGUCCGGUGACCAGGCAGCGGUUUACGGAACGGGAUCAGGAGCGAGAACCGGAACCCAACUCGGCGCCACCGCAGCCGGCGAAGGCACCACGCUUUGAGGCUUACAUGAUGACCGGCGACCUGAUCCUCAACCUGUCCCGGACACCACAGACCAGCAAUCCCCUGCCCGCCCAGGCCAAAAAAGUGGACAGUCUCCGGGAUUCACCCAGUCGCCUGGUUAAUUCGCGCAUCAAUGGCGCUCUAGCACCUCGUGCCUCCGGCGAGUCCUCGCCCACUUCCUCCUCCUCGGUGGACUCGCCCACCAACACCAGUUCGGAUUCGGUGAAGCGCGAGGCGAAGCUGCUGAGGAAACAGCAACAACAACAGCAGCAGCAGCAACAACAGCCUCACCAGCAGCAACAACAACAACAGCAGCAGCAGCAGCAGCGGGACAGCAUUAACAAUAGCUACAACCGCAAGGACUCACUGACCAAUGACACACUGCUGAUGUGCGAGGAGCUGGAGCAGGAUGAGGAGGGCGAGUAUGUCCUAGAGGAGGACAACAAUAGGCAGCAGCAACACCGCCAAAAGCAGCAACAUCGCUAUCGCCAGCAGCAGCAGCAGCAGAAUCAGCAACGCUACGAAUACUACCAAAACGAGGAUGAGCUGGAGGAGGAGCAGGUGGAGGUUGAGGAGGAGCGGGAGGAGGAUCAAACGCACUACGACAUCACCAACAUCGAUACCUACCAGAGCGGUCUGGGCCGGGGCGAUGAGGACGACAGCGAUCGGCAGUGCCUGGUGGACGACGACGACGACGAUGAGGAGCCCUACGACGAAGAGGAGAACGAUGCCGGCGACGAGGACUACUCGACCAACUCGUUGGGCUCCGGCUCGGCCAAGCAGAGAUUGCGGGCGCUGAAACAGCGCACCGCCACCCGCCAGCAGCAUCCCCACCACCGAAACCGUGAUGCCGUCGACUGUGCCGGCCGCUCAGGAUCGGGAUCCUCGUCCACCACGGUCAAGAGCGAGGCGGGCGGAGGCCUGGGCCUGGACGAGACCUCCUUCUCAGUGCCAACCUCCCCGAUCUCGCUGUCGACGCCGCUGAUCGACAAGGAGACGGCCAACUCGGUGCCCACCAGCCCGGAGCCCAGCUCCCUGGCGCCGGAAUCGAGCAGUGGUGGAGCUGGUGCCGGAGCGGUGGUGGUGCGCCGCCACAACGGACAUGUGGUGCGGAAGUGCGAUGCCGCCGGCUUCCGCACCAGCAAGUCCGAGGACCAUCUGCAGCAGAUUCAGCGCGAGGGCAUCGCCGCCGUGAUACCCAUCGACAUCGAUGAGGAUGUGAAUAGCUCGCUGAACACUCUGCUGGACACGCGUCAGGACUCCGAGGAUUCGCAGGCAUCGGAUCGCGAUCGGAUCGUUUGGACCUAUAAUGCCCCACUCCAGCCGCACCAGUUGGCGGCCCUCCAGCGACAGCAGCAGCAGCAAGAGCAGCAAUUCCAACAGCAACAGCAGCAACUCCAGCAGCAACAUCAGCAACAGCAGCAGCAACAACAGAAGCAGCAACUCUACGGUCAGCAAUCGCAUUCAAAUUCACAUUCAAGUUCCAUUAGUUCGUCGCCCCAGCACUCGGCUGUGGGCAGUCCGGCCUCGCCCACGUCGGUGUCCUCGUCGGUGAUGUCCUCGUCGGGCUCUAAGGGCGCUUUGGGCCUGGGCAGCAGCAGCAAUGGUCCCAUGGCCGCCAUGCAGCAGCAACAGCAGCAGCGGGAACAGGUUGCCCAACCGCCCAACGGCAUUCCCGGCCUGCUCAGCUGUCCAGGUGGUGGUAGUGGUGUUGGUGGUGGAAGUGGAGGUGUCGGUGUCGGUAGUGGUGGUGGCAACAACGAUCAGAGCGUCUCAGAGGCCAUUUCGAAUAUAUCUAGUCCCGACUACCAAGACGACGAUAACUUAUUGAGUUCUCGCGAUAUUCUAGGCGGCAUGGUACUUAGCGAUCUCAGUGACUCGGACUCCACCAUCCUCGUCUCGGACGCGGCCGCCCUGCAGCGCCAGCAGCUCAAGCAGCAGCUGCGUGCCCAUCAGCAACAGCAGAGGGAUAGGGAACGAGAACAAUCCGAGCACAAGGUGGUCAUCCAAGUGCGCGGCCUGGACAACAGCAACAGCAACAGUGGCGUCGGUGGCGGUGGCCGCUCCGAGGAGGAUGUGGUCACGCUGACGGACGAGCAGCCGCUGGGCACGAUGGCCAUCGGUCUGCGAGACGCCUCGCCGCCCGUCUCCGAUGAUGGCAGCGAUGUGGAGUCGCUGCACUCCUAUCACUACUCUCCCAAGGCUGUGGACAUGCCCUCGGCCAUUCGGCUGGCCAAAAGACUGUACUCCCUCGAUGGUUUCAAGAAGAGCGAUGUGUCGCGACACCUCAGCAAAAACAACGAUUUUAGUCGCGCGGUGGCCGAUGAGUAUCUCAAGCAUUUCACCUUCGAGAAGAAGUCACUCGAUCAGGCGCUGCGCGAAUUCCUGCAGCAAUUCUCGCUGUCCGGCGAAACGCAGGAACGGGAGCGAGUGCUGGUGCACUUUUCCAAGCGCUUCCUCGACUGCAAUCCGGGCACCUUCAACUCGCAGGACGCCGUGCACACGCUGACCUGUGCCAUAAUGCUGCUGAACACGGAUCUGCACGGCCAGAAUAUGAAUCGCAAGAUGAGCUGUGCGGAGUUCGUUGACAACCUGGCAGAUCUCAACGAUGGCGAGAACUUUCCCAAGGAUGUGCUCAAGUCGCUGUACCAGGCCAUUAAAACUAAACCCCUGGAAUGGGCGCUAGAUGAGGAGGCCGGCGAUCUGCAGCAGCAAAGAGCCAACAACAGUGCUUUGGGCAAUGUGGGCCAGAAUCCCUUCCUCGAUCCACCGGAAUUGGCCACAGCUGUGGAGUACAAAAAGGGCUAUGUGAUGCGUAAAUGCUGCUAUGACAGCAGCUUUAAGAAAACUCCUUUUGGCAAACGCUCCUGGAAGAUGUUCUACUGCACGCUGCGUGACCUUGUGCUGUAUCUGCAUAAGGAUGAGCACGGUUUUCGCAAGAGUCAAAUGUCCGACAAUCUGCACAAUGCAAUACGCAUACAUCACGCACUGGCCACCAAGGCCAACGACUACACCAAGAAGCAACAUGUGUUCCGUCUGCAGACGUCCGACCAGGCCGAGUAUCUGUUCCAGACCAGCGACUCCAAGGAGCUGCAAUCGUGGGUGGAGACCAUCAAUUAUGUGUGCGCGGCCAUAUCAGCGCCACCACUCGAGGGCGGCGUGGGCAGCCAGAAGCGGUUCCAGCGACCGCUCCUGCCCAGCAAACAGUCCAAACUGUUGCUGAAGGAGCAGUUGGAGUCGCACGAGGUCCAGUUGGCCCAAUUGGAUCAGGAGCUCAACGAGCACAAGAAGGGUCCGAUACCCAGCAAGGGCUUGCCUCUGCAGAACUACAAGGAGAAGGAGAGCUACUUGCAGUAUGAGCUGCGUCGCUACCGCACCUAUGUGAGCAUCCUGAGCGCCAAGAUGCUGGCGGAUCAGCAGCAGCUGGAGCUGCAGGCCCUGCAGCCGUCGCCGGCGGCGCACGAGGAGGAGGCCGACACAUUCCCAGUGGGCUCCACCACCAGCAUCAGCACCACCACCACCUGCACGCCAACCACGCCGCAAAGUAUUAGCCAGAAGGAGCAGCAGCAGCAGCAGCAACAGCCAGCAAACAGAUGGUUCGAUGUCUUCUGCUGCUGUUGCCCACUCUGGCGGCACUUGAUCCAUUCGAAAAGCCAUUAGCCAACUUAGUCUCUUGCCAACACAGCUCACGAAGCACCACCACUUCUCCCGGAGGCUAGUGAUCCGCUCCAACCAAAAAAAGAGGUGCUCGCUCGUUGUAAAUGCCCCAAACCGUACUUUGACCACCACCUGUCUUAAAUAAAAGAGAAGAAAAAGAAAUAAUUACGUUUUAUUUCCGCUCUUGAUUUCGAUCAUUUUUGAAAACUCGCAUACCAACAAACACACCACUACACACCUUCACCAUCAAUACCCGCCCGCCUCCGCCUGGCCAUCGGGAAGCAGGCGUACGAAUGAAUUUAAAUAGAAUACUCCAAAAUGCCAGGCUGCCGUCGCCGGAAACACAGAAAGAUCCAGAGAUCAGAUCUACAGAUCUACCACACAACAACACCCCACUCGCAUACUCUCAGAACCACUCACCAUUGUCCACCCACUUACACUCAAGCGUUGCGGCUGUGCCGUGUCGUCUGCCACUGAAGAUAUUCGGAAACUGUGCACUUUCAAUUACUUGAACAUCAUUUGAGAUAAUUAGACUACCAACACGAUAAUUAACGAGGGAGACGGGAGUUUUAUGUUUGAAGGUCGUUCAUCAGAAGAUAUCGGGCGAUUAUCUCGGAUUCGAGCAUUCGAUUUUAUAAGUAUCAAGCUUACUUGUCAAAGAGAUGGCUCUCGAAAUCGGAAAUCAGUUUCAUCUGAUUUAUUCGAUUCGAAUUUUGAAUAUUCUGCUGGACGGCUGCUUAGGAACGAGAACGAAAACUGCUUAUACACAUAGACUUAUUAUUACAAAAGUUGAUAAACAAUACUUACAUCAUUACCUAUGCUAUCAUUAUAAAUGAUAAAAAUAAAUUAUAAAUUAUUGAACAAUAUCUCUACGCAAAACAAAAGAUGGAGAACAUCGGCAGUAACAAUAACAAACAGAAUGAGAAAACGAAAGCGAAAGCGAUCACGAGGACAAGAGAGCGUUAGCAUUAACCUAAGCAAUUACUACCAUACCAUGUACGACUUGUUUUUGGUCUUUUGCGAUACAUUAUCACAUUAUCUGUGUAGGUACACUUACUCCAAUAUAUUAUGUACGGAUCCAUAUAUUUAUUUAUACAAUUAUCGGUUGAUUACGCGACAUGUCCAUGUAGCUAGAAUAUGAAAUUGAUAUCGAUUACGGGGUUAAAAGAGAGAAUGAGGAAACAAUAAAUUUAAAUACAUCAUAUAUUUUUGAAUAUAUUAUAAUUAUUGUAUUGUGUAAUUAUGUAAAUGCAGAUCAUAUAACAUUGUUUAUAAUAAUUUUUAACAAUUCUACUGAAACGGCAAUAAAUUCGAAAACAGCAAACAAACAAACUAACUGAAAAGUGAAAGCAACUUCUGCAAGCGCCUAAAUGUAUGCAUAUUGUAUAUUUAUUUAGUCAAACAUUUUAACUGGCUUACUACGAGGGCAUCACUUAGUUUUUAAAGCAAUACCCCCAACCCUUUCGAUAACAAUUCACACGAGCAUUGAUUUUAGAACGUAUGCUGCAAACAAAUGGCGAAAAGGGAAACAAGAUGACGAACUUGAAGACGGUGAUUUUUAUGUGAACAUUUAUUACUAACUGAUAAGCUUUGAGUACAUUUAGGAAAGCCGUUAUACUAUGCAUAUACACAUAUAUAUGAACUAUAUAUAGUAUAUAUGAAUGCUCAUGUGAGCAACCAAACAAUUACGAUAUGAAUCAUUAAAUACUUCCGAAAGCAUUAA
Molecule: RNA transcript, 6948 nt
Organism: Drosophila elegans
Lineage: Eukaryota; Metazoa; Arthropoda; Insecta; Diptera; Drosophilidae
Gene: Efa6
Gene name: PH and SEC7 domain-containing protein
Exons: 15
Source: RefSeq, a predicted model, not a curated record